CAGUGCGAACGACAAUUGGAAGGACAUUUACAUAUUUGUGGGUGAUGUGGUGAAGAAGUUUCCAAACUUGAAAAUGCGGGUGUCCUUCAUCACCUACUCCACACAGGGCCACACCCUUAUGGAGCUCACCUCAGACAGAAACAAAAUACAUAAUAGUCUUAGCAGACUUAAGAAUAUAAAGCCUACUGGAGCC
Molecule: long non-coding RNA, 193 nt
Organism: Ailuropoda melanoleuca (giant panda)
Lineage: Eukaryota; Metazoa; Chordata; Mammalia; Carnivora; Ursidae
Exons: 3
Source: RefSeq, a predicted model, not a curated record